RNAcentral lists this non-coding RNA (148 nucleotides) under Acinetobacter towneri. RNAcentral describes it as "TPP sequence". It matches the Rfam family "TPP riboswitch aptamer (THI element)". From Rfam's summary of the family: Vitamin B(1) in its active form thiamin pyrophosphate (TPP) is an essential coenzyme that is synthesised by coupling of pyrimidine and thiazole moieties in bacteria. The previously detected thiamin-regulatory element, thi box was extended, resulting in a new, highly conserved RNA secondary structure, the THI element, which is widely distributed in eubacteria and also occurs in some archaea. Analysis of operon structures identified a large number of new candidate thiamin-regulated genes, mostly transporters, in various prokaryotic organisms. The record is from RNAcentral. Lineage: Bacteria; Pseudomonadati; Pseudomonadota; Gammaproteobacteria; Moraxellales; Moraxellaceae.
UACAGCUUGACGGAGCGCGAGUAAUUCCUCGCUGAGAUUGUGUCCAUUCUUUGUUGCUUGCUCAGUGGCCUGCAACACAGAUUUAAACUCAAGUACCGUUGAACCUGAUCAGGUUAAAACCUGCGUAGGAAUCAAGCCACCUAAAAAC